Molecule: non-coding RNA, 107 nt
Organism: Acanthosepion pharaonis
Lineage: Eukaryota; Metazoa; Mollusca; Cephalopoda; Sepiida; Sepiidae
Source: the annotation of a GenBank genome assembly
AUAGCACAUUAUUCCAACUGGUUCCCGUACGAUCACCGAAGUUAAGCAGCGUCGAGCCUGGUCAGUACCUAGAUGAAUGACCUUUUGGGAAUACCAGAUGCUGUAAG